GCAAGGUUUAUUCAUGCUCCAAAAAACCCAAGCCUUUUUCUCUUCUCUUCUGCUCUCUCUCCCUGUAAGAAACAGACCUGAAACAAGCUAAGGAAAAAAAUAAUAUAUGUAUAUGGGAAAAGAACAGGAAUAAUAAUGCUGAAACAAAACAACCAGGAAAAAAGAAAGCAAAAGCUGUUUUUUUUUUUUCUUUGCAGUGGGGACAGCAGGUGGGAGCUUUCCAAGCCAGACAAAGGAGACCUGACAAGGACCUGUGGUGAAGGGACAAGCCCAAGGCAAGGAAGUGUCCGGUCACCUCUUCUCCUGGAGCAGGCAGCAGAGACCUGGACAGACAGGAGACAUCUUGCACGACUCAUCACCUGGAGCAGUGCUAACCAGGUGGGCAGCCCUGAUGUCAGGCAAGCUGUACGUGCUCAUCAGCUGGCCCGACGGCAGCCGGGUCAUCAGCAUGGAGAACAUCAAGGAGCCCCGCAAGCCCUUCCACCUCUACAGUGUGGGGGAGCAGGUCCUGGCCCGCUGCCCUGGCUUCAGUGGCCUCUACUGGGGUGUGGUGGAAGGCAUCAGUGGUAAGUGACACCCCCCUGGCCUGGGUUUGCAAUCUGGGGCUGCUCAGGAGCAACCUUCCAAAAAGGAGUUUAGUGCCAAAAAAUCUUCUGUUACUACAGAGCAGAAAGGUAUUUUGGAGAAGAAGCUGCUGGAAGAUCGACAGCUCCUGGAGAAGCUAAAAGAAGAACCAGCUGUCCACAGCAUGAUGCCGUCCCCACCAAAAAAAUCCAGGAAAACCUUUCCAAAAUGGACCCCAGGGAAUGCAUCCAGGAAACACCCCAGUGACAGGACCUGUCCUGCAAAGCCUCUGCUGAAGGUGGCUGAGGCCAGCCUGCCCCAUGAUGCCAGCAACUCCUCCAUCCUCAAGGACAGGCGUGUCCUGGGAAGCGUGGCAGGGAGCCCCCGCUCGCUGGCAGCUCCCCCACACCCAGCCAGUGCCUUCACCCCUCCAUCCUCCUUCAUCACCAUGGCCAUGCCAGGGCCAGGCACUUCCCAGAGUGAAGAGGACAGGGCUGGUCCAGCUGCAAGAGCAGAUUAUGUUGCCCUACCAAUGAAGAGGAAGUCAGAUGGCAUCUUUUCCCCGUGCCAGCAGCAGAUCUGUCUGAACAGCCGUGAGGAGCAAAAGAUUGAUGCUUUGCAAGAGAUGGAUGGCUUUGAGAGGGCUCACAAAAAUUUCAGUCCUGCUGAGGUGGAAAGGGUGGAGAAGAUGGAGCAGCUGGAAAGGAUGGUGCUGGAGCUCCAGCAGGAUGUCCUCUCUCUGAAGAAGAAGGUGCAGAGGCUGGAAUCCCUGUCCUUCCAGGAGGAGCCCCACCGACAGCCAUGUGAGGUGGUGGAGCUCUUCAAUGGCUACACCAAGGAGCAGCUGAAAGAGACCAUCAGGUUUGACCAGAAAAUCAGCACAGCCUGCAAGACUCUGCUCUACAAGCUCUUCACCUCUGACUACAUCCAGAGCCACUCCAUCACGGGACGCAGGGGCAACACCUUCCGCGAGGCGAAGCCCAUGAUGGACGAACGCUGCAUCAAAAUCAUCAGGGUGCUGCUGAAGCAGAAGUUUGGGGAUCACCUCAGUGACAGUGUGAUCACAGAGAAGAUCCAGAACGUGCAGAAAGCCCUGAGGCAGAAGUUUAAGACAGAGUGUCUCUGAGGUGUGGGAGAUUUGGUGUCUCCUCCUGCCAUUCCCGUGUGUGUCCCUGAGCAGCUUUCCCAGGAGAGAUGAGCUGAGCAGCUGCUGCUCAGUAGAUUUCCCCCAGGGAGCCAGCCCAAGUAAACCAUGUGCUAAACACAGCUCAAACACUGCCAAACCUCUUCCUCCAUUAACCAAGCAGGAACUGGGCCCAGCUUGGCUCAGUUUUUGCACUCUACAAGUUCCUUCCCAUCCAGCCUGUGUGCAAACCUCACUGUGGGUGCAUGGAAUCGCCUCUGUGACUCUGAUGAUGUGCUCAAAGGCUCUAUUUGAGUCCAAGAAUGGGUCAGGAAGGUAGCCCUCUUCCACACUGCAGAUAUGUUGGCUUUGGGAUAGGGAAUCCAGCUGCAGACAGGCUGUGUCACCCAAUGCAGCUUCUCUCUGUCUGCCUCUGGUUGCCUCAUUCUGCCUGUGGGACAAUAUUUACUCUUUCCUCACAGUGAAUGUUUUAUUUCCAGCACUAACAAAAAGGCAGACUCAUUAAAAUGACAUCUUAAAACAUUCAGAAAAAGAUAACUUGUUUUUUUUCUGUUUAUCUUAAUGUAGCUAUAUAGAGGAGUUGUCUUCCCUAAGAAAAGCCUGCUGAACAAGAGGAGGGGUCAAUUAAUGAACUUCCAAGGGAACCCAUGGAAGUUCCAUUAAUUUUCCUUUCAAGAUCAGAUUAUUUCCAUACAGGAGAAAUCUCUAACAUUUUUAUGACUCAAGAGUGAGGCAUGGAGGACAAAAUAUGGCCCAACUUUGCUUUGAAGGUAUAUAUCUUGUGGACACUGUCACUAUUAUUUAAAUACAGUAUUUUUAUCCUAGAUAAAAAAUGCCAAGUACAGUCAGUCCCUUUGCUGAGGGACUACAGAGAAGGUCUAGAAAGAGAAAUCUUUUCCUAAAUAAUUCAGAGCUGGAGUGUGGGUGGAUUAAAAUUGUUCUAAGUGUUAAAAGAAUGAGAUGCUGACACCAGUCCAGCACUUAACAGAAGUGCUGCAAAAUCCCAAACAUUCCCUUUUACAGAGGCUUCUCAGACAGGGAAUUGGUUUUCUCAGCUUAAUUUUUAAAUUAUUCAGGAAAAGAAAUGCCAGUGGGUUUGCAUUAAUCAAAACAUUUGGUUUAAUUUAUAUGUUUUGUUGUGUUUUCAAAUAUUUAAUUUCUUCACAGUUACAUGAGAAAUAAUAAUGCAAAAUAAAUGUAUUGGAGAAACAAGGAGCUGUUUUGAA
This 2934-nucleotide long non-coding RNA is filed under the name Junco hyemalis (dark-eyed junco). Its description in RNAcentral is "lncRNA (ENSJHYG00000012618.1)". Lineage: Eukaryota; Metazoa; Chordata; Aves; Passeriformes; Passerellidae. The record is from RNAcentral.